This 444-nucleotide ribosomal RNA is filed under the name uncultured bacterium. Its description in RNAcentral is "partial 16S ribosomal RNA". It matches the Rfam family "Bacterial small subunit ribosomal RNA", at positions 338 to 795 of the family's 1533-position model. The record is from RNAcentral.
CCUACGGGUGGCUGCAGUGGGGAAUAUUGGGCAAUGGAGGAAACUCUGACCCAGCAACGCCGCGUGAAUGAAGAAGGUCUUCGGAUUGUAAAGCUCUUUAGUCAGGGAAGAAGUCAAUGAUGGUACCUGAAGAAUAAGCUCCUGCUAACUAUGCGCCAGCAGCCGCGGUAAUACGUAGGGAGCAAGCGUUGUUCGGUAUGACUGGGCGUAAAGGGUGCGAAGGCGGGUGUACUAGUUAGAAGUGAAAUAGCCAGGGCUUAACUCGGGUGCUGCUUCUCAAACUGGAUGACUUGAGUGCAGUAGAGGUAAGUGGAAUUCCUAGUGUAGCGGUGGAAUGCGUAGAUAUUAGGAGGAACACCAGAGGCGAAGGCGGCUAACUGGACUGCAACUGACGCUGAGGCACGAAAGUGUGGGGAGCAAACAGGAUUAGAUACCCCUGUAGUC